Molecule: long non-coding RNA, 635 nt
Filed under: Nicotiana benthamiana
Lineage: Eukaryota; Viridiplantae; Streptophyta; Magnoliopsida; Solanales; Solanaceae
Description: long non-coding RNA (NBEN_LNC030028)
Source: RNAcentral
AAUUUAGCAAGAUCAAUGCUUUCAUUCUGAGAAGGGUCGAGGCCGGACCCUCCUCCGGCCCCGGCUUCCAGAUCAUCCAUCUGCACCUCUUGUUUCAGGUCCUGAUAUUUUUUUAACGAAGGAGAAAACAAGUCAUUCAUCUUUUUGCCACCUUAAAUAAUAAUUUACUUUCCUCUAUUUCUUCAAAUUAUAACCUAAACUAGCUUUGAUUUUCUCUUGUCUAAGCCUUCUCUCUUCAAUCCCUAUAAUAUAUGCAAUUAGAAUGAUAGGUUUCACCUCUUGUUUCAGGUCCCGAUAUUUUUUCAACGAAGGAGAAAACAAGUCAUUCAUCUUUUCACCACGUUAAAUAAUAAUUUCCUUUCUUCUAUUUCUUCAAAAUGUAAUAUAAAAUUGCUUUGAUUUUCUCUUGUCUAAGCCUUCUCUCUUCAAUCCUUAUAAUAUUAGCAAUUUGAACAAUAGGUUUAUGGCCAUGUCCAACGGGGUGAUAAAUUGGUAAAGGAAAAAGAAGAAGAGAAGGUGACAAGAGAAAAGCCUUCAUUAAAAGACAAUAACAAACCAAAUUCAUCUGUUCGGUGAAGAAUUAAAAGUCAUAUUAUUAGAGGUAAAUUCCACCAAAACAAACUUGAGGACUUUCG